This 507-nucleotide ribosomal RNA is filed under the name uncultured bacterium. RNAcentral's name for it is "bacterial SSU rRNA". It matches the Rfam family "Bacterial small subunit ribosomal RNA", at positions 1 to 507 of the family's 1533-position model. The record is from RNAcentral.
CUACGAGUUUGAUCCUGGCUCAGAUUGAACGCUGGCGGCAUGCCUUACACAUGCAAGUCGAACGGCAGCACGGGAGCAAUCCUGGUGGCGAGUGGCGAACGGGUGAGUAAUAUAUCGGAACGUGCCCAGUAGUGGGGGAUAGCCCGGCGAAAGCCGGAUUAAUACCGCAUGAGACCUGAGGGUGAAAGCGGGGGAUCGCAAGACCUCGCGCUAUUGGAGCGGCCGAUAUCAGAUUAGGUAGUUGGUGGGGUAAAGGCCUACCAAGCCGACGAUCUGUAGCUGGUCUGAGAGGACGACCAGCCACACUGGGACUGAGACACGGCCCAGACUCCUACGGGAGGCAGCAGUGGGGAAUUUUGGACAAUGGGCGCAAGCCUGAUCCAGCCAUGCCGCGUGCGGGAAGAAGGCCUUCGGGUUGUAAACCGCUUUUGUCAGGGAAGAAAUCUUCUGGGUUAAUACCUCGGGAGGAUGACGGUACCUGAAGAAUAAGCACCGGCUAACUACGUG